UGCAAAUCAACACAAUAGGCUAUAUGCACACUCACUUCCGCAUUCCAAGUCGGCCAGCCAGGUUACAUCCGGCGUCGACGGCGCACAUAGCGUCAAUAACAACUAUGGCAUUUUUCACUCGGUCCCUUCAAGAUGUCCCAAAGGUAACGGUCAACGACGUGAGUCGAAUCAUACAAAAGUUAUGUCACACUUCGACAACCAAGAAAGAGAAGGGCUUCAAAUUGUAUGUGUCAAGCUACAUCCACAAUUUUGAAGGUAAGAUCUGGACGUGUUCUGUGUUUACAUGCCCAUAGCAUGCAUGCUAUCUAGUGCUAGCGCAGCAGGUGCAGCGUAGGCUAUGUUUACUAUUAUGUGUCAAUCACAGCCAAUUUUCCUAACGCCUUUGUCAAUGUCAGUUUCAAACAAGGAUUCAAGCACAGGAGAGGUAACGAUUAGGGCUGAGUGCUACAGAUCUAUGAGGAAAAGCCAAAAGCCUCACAGCUUAAGCAUUGUGCUUGGGGAUGCCCGUCCUGUGCAUCUACAAAGCUGCCAGUGUACCUGUGUGGCAGGUACAGCUGUGUGUAAUCAUGUGGCAGCACUGUUGUACCAGACUGCACAUUAUUGCCAGCUUAGCAUCACCUCUGUUCCCCCAACACACAGCUGCACAGAGACUGAACAGAAGUGGCAUAAGCCAAGAUCCAUGGUAACUAAUGUUUUUAACAGGGUACUUUGUGUACGAUCCAAAGGGGCAGACAGUGUUUGGCCUUGUUGAAAUUAAAUGCCCCAAUGUUGCAAGCUAUGUUGACUGCCCAUAUAUUAAGAUCAGUGAGGGCACACACACAUUAAGGAAAUCUCAUUCCUACUUUUGGCAAAUCCAGGGCCAGAUGUUGAUUUCUGGUUUAGACUGGUGUGACUUUGUUGUCUACACACAGGAGGACAUGUUUAUUCAGAGGAUUCCCAGAGACAAUGAAAUCACCAAAACAAUGAAAGUAAAAAUUGAUUUUUUUUAUUUUUAUUGUUACCUCUUUGCUUCCCUAAAUAAUUAGAUUCUGAUUGCCUGUCACACUUCUUUAUAGAGUGCUGUUAAUUUCUCUUUUCUCCAUUUCUCUUACUGGCAGUAACUCUUAUUAGUUCAAUCCAUUUCAAAAUAUUUGUACAUAUAUAUUGAUUCAAGUUUUUAUAUUUUUUCUUAAUUGUAUUACUAUGUUUCUUGUUGUAUUAAUACUAAUCUAUUAUUAAAUUACAUGUUACAUGUUCUUCCGAUUAAUUUUUUUGAUAAUUGGUUACCUAAAAAUA
Non-coding RNA from Oryzias latipes (Japanese medaka), 1275 nucleotides. The record is from RefSeq and is a predicted model, not a curated record. NCBI's taxonomy places the organism in Eukaryota, Metazoa, Chordata, Actinopteri, Beloniformes, Adrianichthyidae.